RNAcentral lists this ribosomal RNA (489 nucleotides) under uncultured bacterium. RNAcentral's name for it is "partial 16S ribosomal RNA". It matches the Rfam family "Bacterial small subunit ribosomal RNA", at positions 28 to 507 of the family's 1533-position model. The record is from RNAcentral.
GACGAACGCUGGCGGCGUGCUUAACACAUGCAAGUCGAACGGUGAAGGGACCAGCUUGCUGGUUCUGGAUGAGUGGCGAACGGGUGAGUAACACGUGAGUAACCUGCCCCCUUCUUCUGGAUAACCGCAUGAAAGUGUGGCUAAUACGGGAUAUUCUGGGUCUGUCGCAUGGCGGGCCCGGGAAAGAUAUUGCUUCGGUGGGGGAUGGGCUCGCGGCCUAUCAGCUUGUUGGUGGGGUGAUGGCCUACCAAGGCGGUGACGGGUAGCCGGCCUGAGAGGGUGGACGGUCACACUGGGACUGAGACACGGCCCAGACUCCUACGGGAGGCAGCAGUGGGGAAUAUUGCACAAUGGGCGCAAGCCUGAUGCAGCGACGCCGCGUGAGGGAUGGAGGCCUUCGGGUUGUAAACCUCUUUCGCCAGUGAAGCGGGCCUGCUCCUUGUGGGUGGGUUGACGGUAGCUGGAUAAGAAGCGCCGGCUAACUACGUG